AGAGUUUGAUCCUGGCUCAGAUUGAACGCUGGCGGCAUGCUUUACACAUGCAAGUCGAACGGGCUUGGUGGCUUGCCAUCAAGUUAGUGGCGAACGGGUGAGUAAUGCAUCGGAACGUACCGUGUAGUGGGGGAUAACCCGGCGAAAGUCGGAUUAAUACCGCAUGAGUCUAAGGAAGAAAGCAGGGGAUCGCAAGACCU
RNAcentral lists this ribosomal RNA (200 nucleotides) under uncultured bacterium. RNAcentral's name for it is "partial 16S ribosomal RNA". It matches the Rfam family "Bacterial small subunit ribosomal RNA", at positions 8 to 214 of the family's 1533-position model. The record is from RNAcentral.